CGGACGGGUGAGUAAUGUCUGGGAAACUGCCUGAUGGAGGGGGGUAACUACUGGAAACGGUAGCUAAUACCGCAUAACGUCGCAAGACCAAGAGGGGGACCUUCGGGCCUCUUGCCAUCGGAUGUGCCCAGAUGGGAUUAGCUAGUAGGUGGGGUAACGGCUCACCUAGGCGACGAUCCCUAGCUGGUCUGAGAGGAUGACCAGCCACACUGGAACUGAGACACGGUCCAG
RNAcentral lists this ribosomal RNA (231 nucleotides) under uncultured bacterium. RNAcentral's name for it is "partial 16S ribosomal RNA". It matches the Rfam family "Bacterial small subunit ribosomal RNA", at positions 99 to 334 of the family's 1533-position model. The record is from RNAcentral.